UCCAAAUAAACUUACAGAAAUUUUCCCUUAGAGCAUUUUCAUUUCAGAAGUGUGAUGUCUCUGAAUUAAGGCCAUUUUUAUUUCUCCGUGCUGAAUGCUGUGACUUUCCCGGGUGCCCGGGGUUUCACACCAACAUCCGUUUCUUAUCUACUGAACCCAGUACUUUCGAAUGUAGGGAACCUGGAGGGCGAAUUUUACACCUGUGCACCCCCUUCUGGAAGGGCUCGGACUACAGAAAUUCCACGGAAUGCCAGCUGCUGCACGUGGAGGAAAAGGCUCGCUCCCUUGUUCAGUCUGCACUGACACCUCAAAGCCUGUACCCGUGCAUCUUCUGGAUCAGAAAUGCUCAGUCCUCCUGAUUUGCCAGUGCAAACCCUGCAGAGUGGACCCGUGAGCAAGGGCGUCCUCACACCUGCCAGCUCAGCCAUGCGUCCCUGAGCUGAAGGAAAACGGGCUCGGAGGACAAGGUUAUUUUUAGCUGUGGGUCCCAGCUAUUCCCCAGGAAACCUGUCCGCAAGAAAGCAGUGCCAGUUAUUCUAUAUUUAAUACGGAGCAUCAUCCAGGGCAUGCCUCCCCAUGCCCUUCCCUGUCCUUCAUGUCAAUAGUCUAGGAGAAGCUAAGAGACCAGACAUCACCUGCCUCGGAUUUCUCUGGAUCAUUAUGAGCUUGGCUGUCCCCUCAAAGCCUCAUGCAUUUGGAAGAUGACUAGAUCACUGCCCGUGUGGAACUCAACAGCGGCUUAGUCCAGGAGGAGUCUGUCUGCUGAGCUGCUGUAGGUCAGGAAAGGCAGGUGCCGGAGAGGUGAGCUGGAUGUGGAUACGUAUGGCUCCCGACCUGGCUCCUCCCUUCUCUCCCUAUUUCCUGGCUGCCAUGACGUUAGCAUCUUCCCUCCUGCAGGCCCUUCUGCCUUGGAGACAGCCAACCAUGGACUGAAUCUUCUAAAACCAUAAUCCAAA
This is a long non-coding RNA of Cavia porcellus (domestic guinea pig), 956 nucleotides long. RefSeq lists it as uncharacterized. The transcript has 3 exons. The record is from RefSeq and is a predicted model, not a curated record. NCBI's taxonomy places the organism in Eukaryota, Metazoa, Chordata, Mammalia, Rodentia, Caviidae.